UGGGGAAUUUUGCGCAAUGGGGGAAACCCUGACGCAGCAACGCCGCGUGGAGGAUGAAGUCCCUUGGGACGUAAACUCCUUUCGAUCGAGACGGGCUUCCGGGUGAAUACCCCGGGAGAGUGACGGUACCGAGAGAAGAAGCCCCGGCUAACUCC
This 155-nucleotide ribosomal RNA is filed under the name uncultured bacterium. RNAcentral's name for it is "partial 16S ribosomal RNA". It matches the Rfam family "Bacterial small subunit ribosomal RNA", at positions 355 to 504 of the family's 1533-position model. The record is from RNAcentral.